GAUGAACGCUGGCGGCGUGCCUAAUACAUGCAAGUCGAGCGAACAGACGAGGAGCUUGCUCCUCUGACGUUAGCGGCGGACGGGUGAGUAACACGUGGAUAACCUACCUAUAAGACUGGGAUAACUUCGGGAAACCGGAGCUAAUACCGGAUAAUAUAUUGAACCGCAUGGUUCAAUAGUGAAAGACGGUUUUGCUGUCACUUAUAGAUGGAUCCGCGCCGCAUUAGCUAGUUGGUAAGGUAAAGGCUUACCAAGGCGACGAGGCGUAGCCGACCUGAGAGGGUGGUCGGCCACACGGGAACUGAGACACGGUCCAGACUCCUACGGGAGGCAGCGGUAGGGAAUCUUCCGCAAUGGGCGAAAGCCUGACGGAGCAACGCCGCGUGAGUGAUGAAGGUCUUCGGAUCGUAAAACUCUGUUAUUAGGGAAGAACAAAUGUGUAAGUAACUAUGCACGUCUUGACGGUACCUAAUCAGAAAGCCACGGCUAACUACGUG
Molecule: ribosomal RNA, 497 nt
Filed under: uncultured bacterium
Lineage: Bacteria
Description: partial 16S ribosomal RNA
Rfam family: Bacterial small subunit ribosomal RNA
Source: RNAcentral